This is a long non-coding RNA of Engraulis encrasicolus (European anchovy), 1015 nucleotides long. RefSeq lists it as uncharacterized. The transcript has 5 exons. The record is from RefSeq and is a predicted model, not a curated record. NCBI's taxonomy places the organism in Eukaryota, Metazoa, Chordata, Actinopteri, Clupeiformes, Engraulidae.
AGCCUGAUCUCGAAGGAUUGCGUCUCAUUUAUCACGCAAACCAAACUCAAAAUUGCGUCAAUAUAAGGACGCAUUCUCUUUUAUGUCACACAUGCGCAGUGGCCACUCUGCUGCCUGGAGCCCCCCUGACAUCUUUGUAGCCUAAUUUACUGAAAAAUAAGCCGUUAUUCAUGUUGCUCCACAUAACCGCGUAUUGCAACUUCAUAAUUAAAUCCCCACAACAAAAUACUGAGCUUAUGGGCUAUUUUAGUCACAUUUUAGUUCCUAGACAAAAGUCUGUUUUGCUAGGAUAUUAAUAAAAUAACAGAAACUGUUUUAUCCUAUACGAGAGCAUUUGUAGUAUUUGUCCAGAAGACUUUUGUGGCUGAAAACCAUUCAACCAGUAAGGUUUUUGAAAUAUUCAUUGUAAAUAACCCUGAUGUACCCCCACUGUUUAUGAUGAUGUCAUUUCAUCGCGACGUCCAUGCAUUGGAUUGUGGAUUUGAUUGUACUGCCUGCAGUCUGAUGUGGUUUGGCUGAGCUUUAUUCAUCAAUUGUUUUACGUCUCCAGUUUUCCCUGAGGUCCAAAAUAUUCAGUGGAGUGAAACUGUUGAUGGAAGUACAGUGCAUUACCAGGCGAAUACACCGGUGGCGACAAGAUCAAGCGACAGAGAAUCGCUGGACUGUGCAGCAAGAGUGAUAGAACAGCAAAAUGUAACAAGCUUGUCCUGGAGGACUGCUCUGAUGGGGAAUGCUGUGGAGGAGAAACAGGCAGACUGUGGUCCAUCGUGUGUGCUCCCAGUGCGUUAAUACACGGACAGUCCUUUUUAAGUGCAACCAGAGGAAUAAUGUGAUUGAGAGGAAGAGUGGCCCCAUACAUUGCUUGACCUGGAGCCUACCAAAGUCUAAGGUCUCAGGUAGGCAGCAAUUGUGGGAAUGUUGUUGGAAUGUAUUGUGUGUUUGCGUUACAGGGCAUUCCACUCAUUUCUUUGUGGUUAGACGAUUCAAUGUCAUGAAUGUCAGCCAAAUCACUGGG